RNAcentral lists this ribosomal RNA (235 nucleotides) under uncultured Finegoldia sp. RNAcentral describes it as "partial 16S ribosomal RNA". It matches the Rfam family "Bacterial small subunit ribosomal RNA", at positions 99 to 334 of the family's 1533-position model. The record is from RNAcentral. Lineage: Bacteria; Bacillati; Bacillota; Tissierellia; Tissierellales; Peptoniphilaceae.
CGAACGGGUGAGUAACGCGUGAGCAACCUGCCUAUGACAGUGGGAUAGCCUCGGGAAACCGGGAUUAAUACCGCAUAAAAUCGUAGAAACACAUGUUUCAACGGUCAAAGAUUUAUCGGUCAUAGAUGGGCUCGCGUCUGAUUAGCUAGUUGGUGAGAUAACAGCCCACCAAGGCGACGAUCAGUAGCCGGUCUGAGAGGAUGAACGGCCACAUUGGAACUGAGACACGGUCCAA